UGAAAUCCAGAGUGUUUCUUUCUUUCCGUGUGUCGUUUUGCAAAAAAAUCAUCUAGGCCACCGGUUAUGAGGCAACCACGUAUGCCCGAUACGAAGACGCGAGAACAUUCGCUGUUCAUACGUGUGGACUCAGUGAUUUUCACUUAAAAUUACAUUAUUCACAAUUGCAAACACACAGAAAAUACAAUGAUCUGCAAUUAUUGAAUAAUUAUUAUAAAGUCACAGAAAGUUUCAGUACGAAGAUAGCACGGACCAUUGUUUUGCAACUAGUACGGAGAAGAAACUGAACCUGUUGCGGCACAAAUUUCAUGCACCAACCCCGUCCUGGAGAACAUGCAGCUGGAACACCAGUGAUUGAAGAAUGAUUAGCGAGGAUGUGAAUAAGAUGAAACGAUUAAUUACGAUAUAUUACAGCUAAACUGAGGAGGAUAAAUAGAAUGCUGUUGCUGCCGCUCUUUUUCCCUCAUUAUAACGUAUGAAAAUCCCGGCCGGCGAUGUUAACGAAUUGAAUGAGGAGGAUGCUUCGAAUGAUGAUGGUAUUACCAGAGUUGAAUGAUCAGCUUAUCGUCUU
This is a long non-coding RNA of Toxorhynchites rutilus septentrionalis, 571 nucleotides long. RefSeq lists it as uncharacterized. The record is from RefSeq and is a predicted model, not a curated record. The transcript is spliced from 3 exons. Lineage: Eukaryota; Metazoa; Arthropoda; Insecta; Diptera; Culicidae.